UUUUCUCAAUCAAAUUUUGUAGGUCGGAAUAUACAAAGUUGUUUGUUGUUGUUUAUUUAUGUAUCAAUUUCUAUUGUUGCGGGUGUUUGGAAAGGUCUACACUUCUUUAUAAAACAUGGGAUCCAUGGUAAUAUUUUCUUUGUGAAGAUAACUUUUUUUCUUAUUUAGAAUUAUGCAUAUAAGUUGUUUAAUGAAAGUCCUGUUAGAACAUGAAAGUCUUAUGAAAAAUCGUAUGGUGUAGGUAUAAGGUUUAAGUUAAUAAUAUGAAUCAUUACACUCCUAUGUCGGUAUAAGGUUUAACUUACUAAUAUGAAUCAUUAAAUUCCAUUUUGAUUAAAAAAUGUAUAAAGUAAUUAAGAACUUUGUGGGAAAAAGAUAAUUUAUUCUUUUGUAUUAUUCCAUUUCAGUACCUAUGGAGAAAAAUGUUUUUAAAUACCAUUAUUUAAGUGAAAUAACACCUGAAGGACGUAGGAUUACAAAGCUUGAUCAGAUUUUGCUCAAUGGAAAUAACAUAGCAAUUCUGGUUCCUCGUGGUUCUCCAGAUCCAGAAUGAUCGAAGAUUUUUUGAUAUUGACAGAUAGGGGUAAUUUAGGAUUCUUUGAAGAUAUUGGUAGAUAUUUUUUUAUCACAACAUCUUCAAUCACCAGAGUGUACAGAGGCAUGAUGGAUCAUCUUCUAUUGUUUAGUGAACUCCUAUUUUCAUUUGUCAAACAAUGAAAAUACAUAAACUUUUUGAACUAUUUUCCAUUUAUUUUCAGGAAUGAUCAUUCAAAAUAUAAUGGUUUAAUAGGAAAAAAGUUAAGAAAUUAGUUUUUUCUGAAAGUACAA
Lactuca sativa (garden lettuce) is the source of this 828-nucleotide non-coding RNA. NCBI's taxonomy places the organism in Eukaryota, Viridiplantae, Streptophyta, Magnoliopsida, Asterales, Asteraceae. The record is from RefSeq and is a predicted model, not a curated record.